Molecule: ribosomal RNA, 775 nt
Filed under: uncultured Neocallimastigales
Lineage: Eukaryota; Fungi; Neocallimastigomycota; Neocallimastigomycetes; Neocallimastigales
Description: partial large subunit ribosomal RNA
Rfam family: Eukaryotic large subunit ribosomal RNA
Source: RNAcentral
AGAGAGAGACAUGCGCGCAUAUCAAUAAGCGGAGGAAAAGAAACUAACAAGGAUUCCCCUAGUAACGGCGAGUGAAGCGGGAAGAGCUCAAAUUUGAAAUCUUAAAGGGUUUCCCUUUACGAAUUGUAGUUUAAAGAAGUGUUUUCUGUUGAGGUUUUGGUAAAAGUUCUUUGGAAUAGGACAUCAUAGAGGGUGAGAAUCCCGUAUUUGACCUUUACUUUCAACUUUGUGAUACACUUUCAAAGAGUCGGAUUGUUUGGGAAUGCAGUCCAAAAUGGGUGGUAAAUUUCAUCUAAAGCUAAAUAUUGGCGAGAGACCGAUAGCGAACAAGUACCGUGAGGGAAAGAUGAAAAGAACUUUGAAAAGAGAGUUAAACAGUACGUGAAAUUGUCAAAAGGGAAGCGUUUGACACCAGUGUUGUUUUUCUGAAAAUCAAUUAAAGAACUGUUUAUGCUAAGUUGUUUAGACUUUAUCAGCUAACUGUUUAGUUUUGAGCUUUUCUUUAAUGCACUUUUCAGCUAACAAGUCAACAUCAAUUUCUUUUGCUGUAAAAAAGCUUGAGGAAGGUGGCUUGAGAUUCGUCUUAAGUGUUUAUAGCCUCUUGCCUAUGCAGUCGGAGAGAUUGAGGUCUGCAGCGUAGAUCCCUUCGGGGCUAAAUGCAUUUGUGCUAAGUUAUAGCAUUUUAUAGACAACUUGUUGACUAUGAUUUGUCUUGUAGCUUACUCGCUUAUGUUAUUUUACCUACGCUUAGGAUGUUGAGCGCAUGUCUCUCUCU